Molecule: long non-coding RNA, 312 nt
Organism: Haliotis rubra (blacklip abalone)
Lineage: Eukaryota; Metazoa; Mollusca; Gastropoda; Lepetellida; Haliotidae
Exons: 3
Source: RefSeq, a predicted model, not a curated record
GAAGCAGCACAGUUCUUUAUAGUGACUACGUCAGUAUCUCGUUAACGUAGGAUUAGUUUGUGGAAGUGUACUUUGCUGCAACAUCAUGGCCUGGAAGACUUUGUGGAAAUACUGUAUUAUUUUUGCUGCUGCAUACCAAGGCCUGAUGAGAGAGACUGCACAGCAACAAACAUAACUACGAAGACAGUUCCAGCGGCUGUCAGUCCACCAAUCAACGCUGGAAAAAGCUGUCCGGUCAACUGUUUGAGAGGAACCUGUACAUUUCUUGAUGAUGGAAAUAUUGACUGCACGGAUGGGUGUAACGAUGGGUAC